GACGAAGGAUGCAAGCGUUAUCCGGAUUCAUUGGGUUUAAAGGGAGCGUAGGUGGCCUUAUAAGUCAGUGGUGAAAUCUCUGGGCUUAACCCAGAAAUUGCCAUUGAUACUGUAGGGCUUGAGUACAGUUGCUGUGGGCGGAAUAUGACAUGUAGUGGUGAAAUACAUAGAGAUGUCAUAGAACACCGAUUGCGAAGGCAGCUCACAAAACUGUAACUGACGCUGAGGCACGAAAGCGUGGGGAGCAAACAGG
Molecule: ribosomal RNA, 253 nt
Filed under: uncultured bacterium
Lineage: Bacteria
Description: partial 16S ribosomal RNA
Rfam family: Bacterial small subunit ribosomal RNA
Source: RNAcentral